CGACCCCAGGUCAGGCGGGAUCACCCGCUGAGUUUAAGCAUAUCAAUAAGCGGAGGAAAAGAAACUAACAAGGAUUUCCUUAGUAACGGCGAGCGAACCGGGAAUAGCCCAUCUUGAAAGUCGGACGUUUUCGGCGUUCGAAUUGUAGUCUGGAGAAGCGUCCUCAGCGGCGGGUCAGGCCCAAGUUCCCUGGAAAGGGGCGCCAGAGAGGGUGAGAUCCCCGUCGUGCCCAGACCCUAUCGCACCACGAGGCACUAUCUACGAGUCGGGUUGUUUGGGAAUGCAGCCCCAAUCGAGCGGUAAAUUCCGUCCAAGGCUAAAUGUGGGCGAGAGACCGAUAGCAAACAAGUACCACGAGGUAAAGAUGAAAAGGACUUUGAAAAGAGAGUCAAAGAGUGCUUGAAAUUGUCGGGAGGGAAGCGGAUGGGGGCCGGCGAUUCGUCCCUUUUGGAUGCAGAACGGAGCAAUCCAGUCCGCCAAUUGAUUCGGGCCAUGGACCAACACAGAUUAAGGUGGUGACCUAAGCCCGGGCUUUUGUUACGCCCACGAAGACGUCACUGCCUUAAUCGUGGUCUGCAGCACGCGUCUCACGGCGUGUCUUGGCAUCUGCGUGCUCAGGGCGUCGAUAUGUUGGCUCCCCAUUAGACCCAUCUUGAAACAUGGACCAAGGAGUCUGACAUGUGUGCGAGUCAACGGGUGAGUAAACCCGUAAGGUGCAAAGAAGCUGAUUGGCUGGAUCCCUCACGGGUGCACAGCCAACCGACCUUGAUCUUCUGAGAAGGGUUAGAUUGUGAGCAUGCCUGUCGGGACCCGAAAGAUGGUGAACUAUGCCUGAGCGGGGCGAAGCCAGAGGAAACUCUGGUGGAGGCCCGUAGAGAUACUGACGUGCAAAUCGUUCGUCUCACUUGGGUAUAGGGGUGAAAGACUAAUCGAACCAUCAAGUAGCUGGUUCCCUCUGAAGUUUCCCUCAGGAUAGCUGGAGCUCGGAAACGAGUUCUAUCGGGUAAAGCCAAUGAUUAGAGGCAUCGGGGAUGCAAUGUCCUCGACCUAUUCUCAAACUUUAAAUAGGUAGGACGGGGUGGCUUCCUUGUUGAGCCAUCCCACGGAAUCGAGAGCUCCAAGUGGGCCAUUUUUGGUAAGCAGAACUGGCGAUGCGGGAUGAACUGGAAGCCGGGUUACGGUGCCCAACUGCACGCUAACCUAGAACCGACAAAGGGUGGUGGUCGAUUAAGACAGCAGGACAGUGGACAUGGAAGUCGAAAUCCGCUAAGGAGUGUGUAACAACUCACCUGCCGAAUCAACUAGCUCCGAAAAUGGAUGGCUCUGAGGCGCGCGACCUAUACCCGGCCGUCGGGGCAAGAGCCAGGCCUCGAUGAGUAGGAGGGUGCAGCGAUCGCUGCAAAACCUAGGGCGUGAGCCCGAGCGGAGCGGCCGUCGGUGCAGAUCUUGGUGAUAGUAGCAAAUAUUCAAAUGAGAACUUUGAAGGCCGAAGAGGGGAAAUGUUCCAUGUGAACGGCACUUGCACAUGGGUUAGUCAAUCCUAAGAGUCGGGGGAAACCCGUCUGAUAGCGCUUAUGCCCGAACUUCGAAAGGGGAUCCGGUUAAAAUUCUGGAACUGGGACGUGGGGGUUGACCGCUACGUUAGGAAGUCCGGAGACAUUGGCAGGAUUCCAGAAAGAGUUAUCUUUUCUGUUUAACAGCCUACCCACCCUGGAAACGGCUCAGCCGGAGGUAGGGUCCAGCGGCUGGAAGAGUGAUAUACCUUGGAUUUGACCCGUUUUCAUCCAUGGUAUAUAUGUGUUUUACUAUAGAUAUAUAUCUAUGUUUUCUACUCUUCUAGGUAUGUUUUCAGGUUCAGGUGUAUUUCGGAGUAAAGCUACGACUUUGGAGCAUUUUGGAGCUUAAAAUACAUUUCAUCUGAGCUGACCAUGUAGAGGUCGAAGAGAGGAAGAACAAUCGAUCGAUGCACAUCCAGUGCUA
Non-coding RNA from Brassica napus (rape), 1980 nucleotides. Lineage: Eukaryota; Viridiplantae; Streptophyta; Magnoliopsida; Brassicales; Brassicaceae. The record is from Rfam.